GACGAACGCUGGCGGCGUGCUUAACACAUGCAAGUCGAACGGAAAGGCCCUGCUUUUGUGGGGUGCUCGAGUGGCGAACGGGUGAGUAACACGUGAGUAACCUGCCCUUGACUUUGGGAUAACUUCAGGAAACUGGGGCUAAUACCGGAUAGGAGCUCCUGCUGCAUGGUGGGGGUUGGAAAGUUUCGGCGGUUGGGGAUGGACUCGCGGCUUAUCAGCUUGUUGGUGGGGUAGUGGCUUACCAAGGGUUUGACGGGUAGCCGGCCUGAGAGGUUGACCGGCCACAUUGGGGCUGAGAUACGGACCAGACUCCUACGGGAGGCAGCAGUGGGGAAUAUUGCACAAUGGGCGGAAGCCUGAUGCAGCAACGCCGCGUGCGGGAUGACGGCCUUCGGGUUGUAAACCGCUUUCGCCUGUGACGAAGCGUGAGUGACGGUAAUGGGUAAAGAAGCACCGGCUAACUACGUG
Molecule: ribosomal RNA, 468 nt
Filed under: uncultured bacterium
Lineage: Bacteria
Description: partial 16S ribosomal RNA
Rfam family: Bacterial small subunit ribosomal RNA
Source: RNAcentral